GAUGAACGCUGGCGGCGUGCCUAAUACAUGCAAGUCGAGCGAACGGACGAGAAGCUUGCUUCUCUGAUGUUAGCGGCGGACGGGUGAGUAACACGUGGAUAACCUACCUAUAAGACUGGGAUAACUUCGGGAAACCGGAGCUAAUACCGGAUAAUAUUUUGAACCGCAUGGUUCAAAAGUGAAAGACGGUCUUGCUGUCACUUAUAGAUGGAUCCGCGCUGCAUUAGCUAGUUGGUAAGGUAACGGCUUACCAAGGCAACGAUGCAUAGCCGACCUGAGAGGGGGGGCGGCCCCACGGGAAGGUACACACGGUCCCGCCCCCGGGGGGAGGCAGAAGUGGGGUAUCUCCCGCAGGGGGAGAAGGCCGAAGGGAGCACCGCGGGGGGAGUAAUGAGGUUCUGGGUAUCGAAAACUUUUUUUAUGGGGAAAAAAAAUUUUUGAAAUGACAUUGCCACAUUGUGAGGGUACUUAAUAAAAAAGCCACGGAUAACCCCGCC
Molecule: ribosomal RNA, 497 nt
Filed under: uncultured bacterium
Lineage: Bacteria
Description: partial 16S ribosomal RNA
Rfam family: Bacterial small subunit ribosomal RNA
Source: RNAcentral